This 397-nucleotide ribosomal RNA is filed under the name uncultured bacterium. Its description in RNAcentral is "partial 16S ribosomal RNA". It matches the Rfam family "Bacterial small subunit ribosomal RNA", at positions 523 to 918 of the family's 1533-position model. The record is from RNAcentral.
AUACGUAGGGGGCGAGCGUUGUCCGGAAUGAUUGGGCGUAAAGGGCGCGUAGGCGGCCCGGUAAGUCUGGAGUGAAAGUCCUGUUUUUAAGAUGGGAAUUGCUUUGGAUACUGUCGGGCUUGAGUGCAGGAGAGGUAAGUGGAAUUCCCAGUGUAGCGGUGAAAUGCGUAGAGAUUGGGAGGAACACCAGUGGCGAAGGCGACUUACUGGACUGUAACUGACGCUGAGGCGCGAAAGCGUGGGGAGCGAACAGGAUUAGAUACCCUGGUAGUCCACGCGGUAAACGAUGAAUGCUAGGUGUAGGGGGUAUCGACCCCUCCUGUGCCGGAGUGAACACAAUAAGCAUUCCGCCUGGGGAGUACGGCCGCAAGGUUGAAACUCAAAGGAAUUGACGGGG